Molecule: long non-coding RNA, 1109 nt
Organism: Mauremys mutica (yellowpond turtle)
Lineage: Eukaryota; Metazoa; Chordata; Testudines; Geoemydidae
Exons: 6
Source: RefSeq, a predicted model, not a curated record
GCGAUGGGCCUCCCGGGCGCCAUUUUGUACGAUGCUCUUUCCCAUUUUAGGCGGGGAGGAAGGGAGCGGGAGUGGUCGCUGCGUCUCCCGGGGGGCUCUGCCUCGUCUCGGGCUAGGGGAUGGGCUCCGUGGGACUUCCUCCUUCCGGCUGAAGGCUCCGUCUUCUCUCCUGGCCGGAGGCGAUGGUGGCCGUAGCGAGCGGAAUAGCCAGAGUGCAGCUUUCCUUUACACCCCUGCUGGUUCCAUUGGCUGGGAACAGCGAACUGCGGCCACAGAGGGCUGAGGGGCUCCAUGCCUGCAGAUGCUCCAGCAGAAGCCCUGGCUACCUGUUGAUAUCACCAUUGGUAUCUGAGACUACAUGGACUGUUUAGGAAGUUCUUGAUGCAUUGGUCAUCCAGUGGAAUAAAAUAACUUCUAUAGAGGGUCUACUUGUAUUAUGAUUACAACAAAAGUACUUCAGACUGUUUAGCCAAUCAGACCACCUAAUUGAACAUUUUGACACUACUUAAAAAGAUGACAUCUGGUAUAAUGGAAUGAAGAUUUCUUUCACUGAGUGCUUUGCAUUGUGUGGCAAGCGUGCAUUCUAGUGGAGCCUGAAAACCACCUCCUUUGAACCUCGAGACAUCUGUGCCACUGGAAUUGGCAUCUUCCUACAAAACAUGAGCAUCAACUAAGCUCUUUUUUCAGACCAAUCUGCUUGCUCUCCAUGUCUUCCUCUUUUUGAUUCCUGUACCAUAGUGACUCUAAAUCUAAACAUUGGAUAUUCUUCUCUGAUGCCUUAGGACAAAAUAUAAGAACAGCAUUGCAAGGAGAAACAUGCCUGCUGUACAAGACUUGAACCUACAUUGUUGAAUGCACACGUGAUCGGCUGAAGAUGCCACUGGAUUACUUUAUCUUUUUAUUCUUCCUUCUAAAGUUUCAGGUAAUUGUUUCUGAAUCACUUUAAUCUAAAAACCCCAGGCUAGAUUUGCCUCAUAACUAAUUACUUAAAAUAAUACACUUCUAGUUGCCAAAACACUAGACAAAGUGAACUUUGUGCAGUUUAUUCUAUUCUGGACUUGUAAAAUGGAGUUUUGAACCUACUAAAUAAAAUUAUAUUGUUUACCUUA